CAGCCGCCGCGGGAAUACGUAGGGUGCGAGCGUUAAUCGGAUUUACUGGGCGUAAAGCGUGCGCAGGCGGCCCGUUAAGGCAGGUGUGAAAUCCCUGGGCUCAACCUAGGAAUUGCGCUUGUGACUGGCGGGCUCGAGUACGGUAGAGGGGGGUGGAAUUCCUGGUGUAGCAGUGAAAUGCGUAGAGAUCAGGAGGAACACCGAUGGCGAAGGCAGCCCCCUGGGCCUGUACUGACGCUCAUGCACGAAAGCGUGGGGAGCAAACAGGAUUAGAUACCCCGGUAGUCCCUGUCUCUUAUAC
This 301-nucleotide ribosomal RNA is filed under the name uncultured bacterium. RNAcentral describes it as "partial 16S ribosomal RNA". It matches the Rfam family "Bacterial small subunit ribosomal RNA", at positions 509 to 807 of the family's 1533-position model. The record is from RNAcentral.